Molecule: small nucleolar RNA, 91 nt
Organism: Yarrowia lipolytica
Lineage: Eukaryota; Fungi; Ascomycota; Dipodascomycetes; Dipodascales
Rfam family: Small nucleolar RNA snR73
Source: Rfam
UUGGAUGAUGAUUUACCACAAUCACGACGGUCUACUGUGCCCCGAAAGGGCCUUGAUGAUAAUCUGCCUGUGACUAGGCGUGGAGCUGAUA